This 703-nucleotide long non-coding RNA is filed under the name Bos indicus x Bos taurus (hybrid cattle). Its description in RNAcentral is "lncRNA (ENSBIXG00000025153.1)". The record is from RNAcentral. Lineage: Eukaryota; Metazoa; Chordata; Mammalia; Artiodactyla; Bovidae.
GGCCGGGCCGCCCAGAGCUCGCCAUUGGGCCUCACUCCCGGGGUCCCGAGCGCCGGCCAUGCUGAUUGGCCGCUGGGGCUUCAUUCACAGCCCCCCUACAGUCCGCAUACACACUCACGCCCCGGGGGCGCGGCCGCCACGUGGGGAGUGGCGCGGGGGUGGUACUGGGACCGCACCCCCUCUCGUCCUGGCUGCGUGGGCCCGCUUUCCCCGGUCUCUGGAGACUCCGAGCCCGGCGGGUCCCACGCUCCACGCGAGCAGAAUUCCCGCAGGUCUCCCGCCCGGGUGGCCAGAGGCGGUGGCGGGGAUGGCGGGCUCCGGGAGGCGCUCCGGCUCCGAGAAGCCGCUUAGCCCCGCGCUCCUCCCUCCGCAGUGCCGCCGCCGGCGGGCCGGGAUUCCCGCGGGUCUCGGCGGCCGCGAGCUGCAGGCGGCGCAGGUCCCCGGCUCGGUUGGUCACCUUGCCCGCCUCGCCUCCCACGGCUUCCAGCGGGCGCGGAGCUCUCCUCUGCGCGCCUCCCCGGCCCGUCUCGGUUUCCCUUCUUCGUCCUCUAGACCAUCCAGCGCAACUCCGUCGACCUCCGCGGCCCUGAGAGAGCAUCCGGCGCGGGCAGAGGCGUACCGGCCCGACCUCACGCCUCUCAUGGACUCUUCUCCAGGGUACCAUGGCCCAGAUGAGAAACUGAGUCUCCAGGGAGUUAAGUGA